Molecule: ribosomal RNA, 237 nt
Filed under: uncultured bacterium
Lineage: Bacteria
Description: partial 16S ribosomal RNA
Rfam family: Bacterial small subunit ribosomal RNA
Source: RNAcentral
UGAGGAACAUGACCUUCGGCGGGGGAUAGCCGGCCCAACGGCCGGGUAAUACCGCGUACGACCACAUGGGGACAUCCCCGAGUGGUGAAAGCAGCAAUGCGCCGAUGGAGUGCCUCGCGGCCUAUCAGCUUGUUGGUGAGGUAAUGGCUCACCAAGGCGACGACGGGUAGCCGGCCUGAGAGGGUGACCGGCCACACUGGGACUGAGACACGGCCCAGGCUCCUACGGGAGGNAGCG